Callorhinus ursinus (northern fur seal) is the source of this 76-nucleotide non-coding RNA. NCBI's taxonomy places the organism in Eukaryota, Metazoa, Chordata, Mammalia, Carnivora, Otariidae. The record is from RefSeq and is a predicted model, not a curated record.
CCGAGUAGCUGGGACCACAGGCGCGCGCCACCGCGCCCGGCCCAGUCUCAAUUUGAAAGGUCUAAGCCCAGCUCAC